CUGCUAUCACUCUUGGGAUGGGACCCUGCGGUGCAUUAGCUAGUUGGUAGGGUAACGGGCCUACCAAGGCGAUGAUGCAUAGCCCGAGUUGAGAGACUGAUCGGGCCACAUUGGGGACUGAGACACGGGCCCAAAACUCCUACGGGGAGGGCAGCAGUAGGGAAUCUUCCACAAUGGACGCAAGUCUGAUGGAGCAACGCCGCGUGAGUGAAGAAGGGUUUCGGCUCGUAAAAGCUCUGUUGUUGGUGAAGAAGGACAGGGUAGUAACUGACCUUUGUUUGUACGGUAAUACUAAUUAGAAAGUCACGGCUAACUACGUGCCAGCAGCCGCGGUAAU
This 337-nucleotide ribosomal RNA is filed under the name uncultured Abiotrophia sp. RNAcentral describes it as "bacterial SSU rRNA". It matches the Rfam family "Bacterial small subunit ribosomal RNA", at positions 209 to 524 of the family's 1533-position model. Lineage: Bacteria; Bacillati; Bacillota; Bacilli; Lactobacillales; Aerococcaceae. The record is from RNAcentral.